GAUGAACGCUGGCGGCGUGCUUGACACAUGCAAGUCGAGCGAAGCACUUGGAACCGAUCCUUCGGGUGAAGUUCCAUUUGACUGAGCGGCGGACGGGUGAGUAACGCGUGGGUAACCUGCCUCAUACAGGGGAAUAACAGUUUGAAAAGACUGCUAAUGCCGCAUAAGCGCACAGGGCCGCAUGGCCCGGUGUGAAAACUCCGGUGGUAUGAGAUGGACCCGCGUCUGAUUAGCUAGUUGGUGAGGUAACGGCCCACCAAGGCGACGAUCAGUAGCCGACCUGAGAGGGUGACCGGCCACAUUGGGACUGAGACACGGCCCAAACUCCUACGGGAGGCAGCAGUGGGGAAUAUUGCACAAUGGGGGAAACCCUGAUGCAGCGACGCCGCGUGGAUGAAGAAGUAUUUCGGUAUGUAAAGUCCUAUCAGCAGGGAAGAAAAUGACAGUACCUGACUAAGAAGCCCCGGCUAACUACGUGCCAGCCGCCGCCGUAA
RNAcentral lists this ribosomal RNA (494 nucleotides) under uncultured bacterium. RNAcentral's name for it is "partial 16S ribosomal RNA". It matches the Rfam family "Bacterial small subunit ribosomal RNA", at positions 28 to 523 of the family's 1533-position model. The record is from RNAcentral.